GCGCAAGGUGUCAGUCCUUCAUACCUGAUGAUGUUUCAAAGAUGAUACUUGAAGCACAACCAGCAAAACCAUUCAAGGUGAUGAGGAUGCAAUGUGAAGACUUCAGGCACCUCCCAGAUUCUGUCCUCAAGCGACCAGCUGGACUACAGAUCACCUCAGUGAGGUGGUUAAAAGUCACAGUUGAGGAUCCUUGGAAUCUGUACGCCAAACAGAGCCAGUCUAUUUGAGGGAUGGAAGUCGUGGCUGAUCUCCAAACCAAAACAAGGAGCUACACCUCAACCUCCCUAUUUUGCAAUCCACUACCCUAGAGCAUAUGAGAGUCCUCUGCCCAUCAAAAAAAAACAAGUACCAAGAUCUGAUGACCAUGCUCAACUACUUGCCAGCUGCUGCACGCUCUUUUUAUGAAUCACUGCAGAGUGAAUAAUUUGUUGUUAAACCAAGCUACAUAAUUAAACGUUUUUUCUGUGAGUUUAUGAUCCCCUGAACCUGUAUACUGUAGUAUGUUGAAUCUGUAUACAUUUCACCCCUAUUGUAGGAAAUUAAUGUAUCGUAGGUGUUUUCUAUGUGAAUCAAUUUGUGUAUGAUUUGAACCAGCACAAUAUAUUGAAUUAAUUUAAUUUUAAGAUGUUGUUCCUAGUGUAGGAAAUGUUAUGUACAAUGUGUUCUGUUGAUAAUUAUUUUGUGUGAUCAUUUGAACCUUUUUUAAUCUGAAUGAAUUAAAAACAAAUAAGUCAUCACAUACAGUAUGUGAGUAUUCAUUUGAUCUUGAUUCCCUUUUUUUAUUCAUUACAAUAUACACUGUCUCUGUCACCACAUUUAGCAUUAACUCUAAGCAGUUAAUACUUAUUUACUGCUGUCACCUCAGUGCAGAAGGACAUUUCUUGCCUUUAGCAUGGGUUUAACACAAUUCACAACUUAAUUGCUGAUCAUAGUGUUAAACACAAAGAGAAUGGUUUUCUGAACGUUUUGUAAUAUUGACCUUCGGGACCUGCAUAAUGGACAUGCAUAUUGGCACAUCACAUUUAUCCCUAUUUGAUAUUUACAAGUUGUGCUUGUUUUGAUUGAAUUAAUUUAAUUGUAUUCUAUUUUGGUAGUUCUAUGGUAUGUUCACAUUGAGGGCUUCAUUUUAAAUGAGACAGAUUUCAUGACUCAACUUUUAAGAAUAGUCAUCAGUGCUAAAGUUAAUAGACCACCUUUAAAUGAACCUCCAUACAAAUGAAUUAACUGCAUAUUGCAUUUAAGUUAUUUACAUGAAGGGCAUAUGUACUUCAAAGUACUUAAAACAUCAUAUCAGGUGUU
Molecule: non-coding RNA, 1299 nt
Organism: Oncorhynchus mykiss (rainbow trout)
Lineage: Eukaryota; Metazoa; Chordata; Actinopteri; Salmoniformes; Salmonidae
Source: RefSeq, a predicted model, not a curated record